UUCGGAUUGUAGGCUGCAACUCGCCUACAUGAAGCUGGAAUUGCUAGUAAUCACAGGUCAGCAUACUGUGGUGAAUACGUUCCCGGGCCUUGUACACACCGCCCGUCACACCAUGAGAGUUGAGAAUACCCGAAGUCCAUGUCAAAGUGGCCGAAGGUAGGCUUGAUGAUUGGGGUGAAGUCGUAACAAGGUAUC
Molecule: ribosomal RNA, 195 nt
Filed under: uncultured bacterium
Lineage: Bacteria
Description: partial 16S ribosomal RNA
Rfam family: Bacterial small subunit ribosomal RNA
Source: RNAcentral